GGGUUGUGAGGUUAAGCGACUAAGCGUACACGGUGGAUGCCCUGGCAGUCAGAGGCGAUGAAGGACGUGCUAAUCUGCGAAAAGCGCCGGCGAGGUGAUAUGAACCCUUGACCCGGCGAUGUCCGAAUGGGGAAACCCAGUGCAAUUCGUUGCACUAUCGUUAACUGAAUACAUAGGUUAACGAGGCGAACCGGGGGAACUGAAACAUCUAAGUACCCCGAGGAAAAGAAAUCAACCGAGAUUCCCCCAGUAGCGGCGAGCGAACGGGGAGCAGCCCGGAGUCUGAAUCAGCUUGUGUGUUAGUGGAACGGUCUGGAAAGUCCGACGGUACAGGGUGAUAGUCCCGUACACGAAAACACACUUGCUGUGAACUCGAAGAGUAGGGCGGGACACGUGGUAUCCUGUCUGAAUAUGGGGGGACCAUCCUCCAAGGCUAAAUACUCCUGACUGACCGAUAGUGAACCAGUACCGUGAGGGAAAGGCGAAAAGAACCCCGGCGAGGGGAGUGAAAAAGAACCUGAAACCGUGUACGUACAAGCAGUGGGAGCCUCUUUAUGGGGUGACUGCGUACCUUUUGUAUAAUGGGUCAGCGACUUAUAUUCUGUAGCAAGGUUAACCGUAUAGGGGAGCCGAAGGGAAACCGAGUCUUAACUGGGCGUUAAGUUGCAGGGUAUAGACCCGAAACCCGGUGAUCUAGCCAUGGGCAGGUUGAAGGUUGGGUAACACUAACUGGAGGACCGAACCGACUAAUGUUGAAAAAUUAGCGGAUGACCUGUGGCUGGGGGUGAAAGGCCAAUCAAACCGGGAGAUAGCUGGUUCUCCCCGAAAGCUAUUUAGGUAGCGCCUCGUGAACUCAUCUUCGGGGGUAGAGCACUGUUUCGGCUAGGGGGCCAUCCCGGCUUACCAACCCGAUGCAAACUACGAAUACCGAAGAAUGUUAUCACGGGAGACACACGGCGGGUGCUAACGUCCGUCGUGAAGAGGGAAACAACCCAGACCGCCAGCUAAGGUCCCAAAGUCAUGGUUAAGUGGGAAACGAUGUGGGAAGGCACAGACAGCCAGGAUGUUGGCUUAGAAGCAGCCAUCAUUUAAAGAAAGCGUAAUAGCUCACUGGUCGAGUCGGCCUGCGCGGAAGAUGUAACGGGGCUAAACCAUGCACCGAAGCUGCGGCAGCGACACUAUGUGUUGUUGGGUAGGGGAGCGUUCUGUAAGCCGUUGAAGGUGUGCUGUGAGGCAUGCUGGAGGUAUCAGAAGUGCGAAUGCUGACAUAAGUAACGAUAAAGCGGGUGAAAAGCCCGCUCGCCGGAAGACCAAGGGUUCCUGUCCAACGUUAAUCGGGGCAGGGUGAGUCGACCCCUAAGGCGAGGCCGAAAGGCGUAGUCGAUGGGAAACAGGUUAAUAUUCCUGUACUUGGUGUUACUGCGAAGGGGGGACGGAGAAGGCUAUGUCAGCCGGGCGACGGUUGUCCCGGUUUAAGCAUGUAGGCGGAGGUUCCAGGUAAAUCCGGUACCUUAUUAACGCUGAGGUGUGAUGACGAGGCACUACGGUGCUGAAGUGAUAAAUGCCCUGCUUCCAGGAAAAGCCUCUAAGCAUCAGGUAACACGAAAUCGUACCCCAAACCGACACAGGUGGUCAGGUAGAGAAUACCAAGGCGCUUGAGAGAACUCGGGUGAAGGAACUAGGCAAAAUGGUGCCGUAACUUCGGGAGAAGGCACGCUGAUAGGUAGGUGAAGUCCCUGCGGACGGAGCUGAAAUCAGUCGAAGAUACCAGCUGGCUGCAACUGUUUAUUAAAAACACAGCACUGUGCAAACACGAAAGUGGACGUAUACGGUGUGACGCCUGCCCGGUGCCGGAAGGUUAAUUGAUGGGGUUAGCGGCAACGCGAAGCUCUUGAUCGAAGCCCCGGUAAACGGCGGCCGUAACUAUAACGGUCCUAAGGUAGCGAAAUUCCUUGUCGGGUAAGUUCCGACCUGCACGAAUGGCGUAAUGAUGGCCAGGCUGUCUCCACCCGAGACUCAGUGAAAUUGAACUCGCUGUGAAGAUGCAGUGUACCCGCGGCAAGACGGAAAGACCCCGUGAACCUUUACUAUAGCUUGACACUGAACACUGGUCCUUGAUGUGUAGGAUAGGUGGGAGGCUUUGAAGCGUGGACGCCAGUCUGCGUGGAGCCGGGUUGCGGACAGUGUCUGGUGGGUAGUUUGACUGGGGCGGUCUCCUCCCAAAGAGUAACGGAGGAGCACGAAGGUUGGCUAAUCCUGGUCGGACAUCAGGAGGUUAGUGCAAUGGCAUAAGCCAGCUUGACUGCGAGCGUGACGGCGCGAGCAGGUGCGAAAGCAGGUCAUAGUGAUCCGGUGGUUCUGAAUGGAAGGGCCAUCGCUCAACGGAUAAAAGGUACUCCGGGGAUAACAGGCUGAUACCGCCCAAGAGUUCAUAUCGACGGCGGUGUUUGGCACCUCGAUGUCGGCUCAUCACAUCCUGGGGCUGAAGUAGGUCCCAAGGGUAUGGCUGUUCGCCAUUUAAAGUGGUACGCGAGCUGGGUUUAGAACGUCGUGAGACAGUUCGGUCCCUAUCUGCCGUGGGCGCUGGAGAAUUGAGGGGGGCUGCUCCUAGUACGAGAGGACCGGAGUGGACGCAUCACUGGUGUUCGGGUUGUCAUGCCAAUGGCACUGCCCGGUAGCUAAAUGCGGAAGAGAUAAGUGCUGAAAGCAUCUAAGCACGAAACUUGCCCCGAGAUGAGUUCUCCCUGAGACUUUAAGUCUCCUGAAGGAACGUUGAAGACGACGACGUUGAUAGGUCGGGUGUGUAAGCGCAGCGAUGCGUUGAGCUAACCGAUACUAAUGAACCGUGAGGCUUAACCUUACAACGCCGAAG
This 2872-nucleotide ribosomal RNA is filed under the name Enterobacter cloacae. RNAcentral describes it as "bacterial LSU rRNA". It matches the Rfam family "Bacterial large subunit ribosomal RNA". The record is from RNAcentral. Lineage: Bacteria; Pseudomonadati; Pseudomonadota; Gammaproteobacteria; Enterobacterales; Enterobacteriaceae.